ACAAUGGAGAGUUUGAUCCUGGCUCAGGACGAACGCUGGCGGCGUGCUUAACACAUGCAAGUCAAGGAGAACAUUCCCUUCGGGGAACUAUUAAACUGGCGAACGGGUGAGUAACACGUAGGCAACCUGCCUUGGAGAUUGGGAUAACCCCGGGAAACCGGAGCUAAUACCGGAUAAUGCAGCGGAUCCUUCGGGAUAUGUUGUUAAAGCGGGCUUCGGCUCGCACUUCAAGAUGGGCCUGCGUCCGAUUAGUUAGUUGGUAGGGUAACGGCCUACCAAGGCGAUGAUCGGUAGCUGGUCUGAGAGGAUGAUCAGCCACACUGGGAUUGAGAUACGGCCCAGACUCCUACGGGAGGCAGCAGUGGGGAAUUUUGCGCAAUGGACGAAAGUCUGACGCAGCAACGCCGCGUGAUC
RNAcentral lists this ribosomal RNA (414 nucleotides) under Fidelibacterota bacterium. RNAcentral's name for it is "bacterial SSU rRNA". It matches the Rfam family "Bacterial small subunit ribosomal RNA", at positions 1 to 406 of the family's 1533-position model. Lineage: Bacteria; Pseudomonadati; Fidelibacterota. The record is from RNAcentral.